This 1432-nucleotide long non-coding RNA is filed under the name Dromaius novaehollandiae (emu). RNAcentral's name for it is "lncRNA (ENSDNVG00000008801.1)". The record is from RNAcentral. Lineage: Eukaryota; Metazoa; Chordata; Aves; Casuariiformes; Dromaiidae.
CUGCUCAUGCCCCMUGCUAGUAUGAGUACUGCAUCAAAACACAUUUCCUCCCUUGCAAAAAAUGCUGACUACCCUGUCUGYCCUGAUAAAAACCCCAGCAGCUGUCAGAGGGAUCCAUGACUCGCUGGGCAUCGGAGCUGUUCCUCCAGCCGGAGGAACCCACUGGCCUUGGCUUGCCCGCUGCCGUGGAGCAGCCGGGAGCGGGUGGCAGCUGAGAGAGGCACAGUCAUUACUACAACAGAUGGGAGAGGCAUGACAUUACAUGGCAGGGCUAUUAUUUACCAAGCACUCRUGUUUGUCAUGGCUGAAGAUGACAUCUUAUUAAGAAGUCACRACACUGGGGGAUUUUUUUAAGCCUGGGGGCCAAGAAGGCUAAUGAAUAGGGAUAGCUCUAGGAAUAGAUGGAGGGUGAUGCCAUUUUCAGGUUGCAGGCAAAGCUGACUAACAUUUCACAAACCCGGUUUCUGGGAGACUUCCAGGCAGUGGCGUGUCUCCCUCUUCCUGYUUAAGGGUGGGUACUCACUUGCCGCAGCCUGUUUCACUGCUUUUGUGCCGGGUCAGGUUGAAGCAGCCGUCUCAAGAGACCCUGGCACGAAGGAGCAAAGCCCAAGCUGUGGUGCCAAAGAGCACCCGCCUGUACCCAAUGACUAUGCAUGGCCAAACACAGGUGCUCCUGGAAAUGAUGGCCCUAGAUGAGAUGUGUGCUGCAAAUGGCUUUUGGACAGUUUUCCCKGAAUCCCACAUUGCAGGUGUCUUAGAAGAUAGCAGAAGCAAUAGCUGGGGGAGCACAGGAAGAAGGACGCUGCUGCUCACAUCACCCAGUGACGCGUGCCCUGAGGACCCUAUCCCUUCAGCCCCUCUCCUCUACCUCACUGACCCGAGAGGACAUCAGUGUUUCCCCAAGCUGCAAGAAGCAUCCAGCAGCUUCAAGGAAUUCAUCCGCAGCACUAAAGYGGGCUCUGCAUGCCAGCUGCUGUGCCCUGAAUACCCUUUGGAUCUUGCUGCCCCGCURCGAUAUCAGGGAUGGGACUUCUGGCUAUUUCAGCAAGAAAUACACUGCCCAGCCUUUCUGCCAAGAUGAAAAACUCUGUGGUCUUGUGGAUGAGGCUGCAGAGAUGCAGCCUGCUCCUGGGGGUGUCAGUUUGCUUGUCUGUGCUUCAGYUUCCCUGUUACACUCUGUGUUUCCCAAUCAUUUCUGUAAUGUGCUUUGAGUGUUAAUGAAAAGAUGUACAAUUUAGCAGUUUGAUCUUUUGCUGAGGCAACUUUUCCUUUCAUGCCAGGGCUAACACUAAGUUCAGCAGGAAAAUGUGAAAGCCUGUGAUUCCCAAGGAUAACAAGCAGUCCCUGAAGAAGCGGCUUCUAGAUGCCUUAACCUGGCUUGUACAACUAGUAGAAAAAUAAAAACCCUUCAUUUUGUGCUGAGCUGAAGGAU